UAGGGAAUCUUCCACAAUGGGCGAAGCCUGAUGGAGCAACGCCGCGUGUGUGAAGAAGGGUUUCGGCUCGUAAAGCUCUGUUGUUAAAGAAGAACGUGGGUAAGAGUAACUGUUUACCCAGUGACGGUAUUUAACCAGAAAGCCACGGCUAACUACGUGCCAG
This 163-nucleotide ribosomal RNA is filed under the name uncultured bacterium. Its description in RNAcentral is "partial 16S ribosomal RNA". It matches the Rfam family "Bacterial small subunit ribosomal RNA", at positions 355 to 511 of the family's 1533-position model. The record is from RNAcentral.